AAGAAAACUUAUGGACAACUCAGGAGACCAUGUUCAGGGGGUCCGGGUGCUGCCCUGUGCCCCUUGUUUGCAGCCGUUGCACCAAGCGCGGUUGUCGCUGCACACGGAGCUGAUGUGGGUGCAAAGGUCUCACAUUCGCAACACAAACCAGUUGAGCCUCGAGCUGCGCCGCUGCUCGGCGCCCCCCCGCCAGUUCUGCUGUGUCAGCGUUGGUGUGGUACCCGUCAGUAACCGCACUCUGUGCAGACGGCAGGGAUGCCGUGUGCAACCUCCCGCCUUCUUUUCCACAGUCUCUUGCACGAUAGCUGCAAAACAAAGCAAACAAUGUCCUGGUGGCCCUUGAGAUUUGGGCACAGUGGAGAUGAGGACCAUAUAAGUACACAGAUGGAUGGAUGCAUGGAUGGAAUGCAGACUCCCACCAGCUGGAAGGAGCAGCGGUGGGUGUGCAAGGAGGGGCUUGUUCCCAUCCCACCGGGAUGCACCUUGUGAACACCUGGCCCACAUCAGGAGCCAUGUGGUUGUCCCCCCUGGGGACACACCAGCGAGAAGACAGGGGCACGUCCUCCCCACACACGUUGGUACAAGACAAAUGCCGUCUCUUCUGCAGGCAGGAAAGGGACACCGAGGGACAGUGUCUCCAAUGUCACACGCUCAGUGGCCUGGAACUCCCAGGGUGAGUUGUACCGUGCAACAUGACUUCAGCGCUUUGCAUGGCUGCAGCAGGACACGCUCCUGAACUGAAAGGACACACUGAGUUCUUCUAGAAGGACCUGCUGGUGGCCAACGUCAUCUCAGUAGACAUAGGGAAGGGGUGAAAAGCUGCCAGGACACAGCGCUGGGGAAGCGGAACAGCUGAGCUAUCCUCAAGUUAUCGUUACAGAAGCUUCAAGCAAGUCUAGUUUUUAUUACAGAACAAAAUACUUAUAUUUUUUACUCAGAAGGAACUACACAAGCUCAAAAACUGUGCUUUUCACAAUGCAUCUUCAUUGAAUUCCCCCGUCUGCAGUGUUCCUGGGGGCUAUUAGCUGCUUUAACUGGAAAAGUAGCUGCUGGGAGCCUGGGUAUUUGCUCUCAGAGGCGUCGUGUUCCCUGCAGCCUCCAGCCCCUGGGAUUCCUCAGCCCACACCAGAACUGCUGCUCCCAUCUCCCUGCCUCCUCCCCUGUGCCAGCGGGCUCAGCAGAGCUAAGACCAGGGCAGGAAGGGAUCGUGUGGCCACACGUGGCACCCCAAAAGUCAAAUCACGUUUUACCAGGGUGUUUUCUGAUGAGAGGAGAAAAAACACCCAUGCAGGACAAAUAGCUUUGGGCUAGGAACAAGUUGUAGCUGCUUUAUGGAGCUUAAGAUCUUUUGAAAUGAUGCUUGUGUAGCCCUUGGUAAUCAGGAGAGUUGAAUUGCUGCUGGGUGUCCCUGAGCCCCUCUGUGAAUCAAAGGGGUUGGUCUGGGCAAGGCAGGCAGAGAUCGCUCGUACACACUGAGCUCAAGGAGGAGGUUUUGAUGAGCUGCUGAGCAGAGGUAUUUAAUUAACCUCCUCUAUUGAUUUUGAUGGAGAAUCACCUUUACUUUUUAUGUGCAAGAGAAAAAGAGCCUGUCUGAAGAGCAGCCAUCUGUAAGAUGGCCAAAUGAGUGCUGGGAUGGGCUCGGUUCACUCACCUCUGGUUUUCCAGUGCAAGGCUGUGGCUGACCCUUGUGAACGUGCCAGAAAAUAGACAGGGCGAGGGAGUUGAGUAACACUGGAGAGAGCGUCUCCAUGUGCCGUAUGUCCCGCCAGCAUGCAGGGUGGUACAGGGGCUGUGGGGACACUCCCCUGUCCUUCCAACACGGGAGCAACGACGUCCAGGCAGAGGCAGCCCGUGGGGAGGACCCGCUCUGCACUGCAUAGAAGGGGAGGGAGAAGGUGGACAUCCCUUAGCAUCGGUGGCCAGGGCAGAGGAUGCUGGUGCUUCCCGCUGUGGUAUAUGGGUUAUUGUGAACUCGAAAGGCCAUCAAAGGGUUUUAGAGAACAAUUGUGAAAUACUGAAAUAGCUGCUUGGUCUUCAAACAUGACAGUGGGUGAGAAAUUUGGGAGUUUGCUGGGAUUUCCUGAUUUACUGGGAUGUAACCGCUUGAAUUGAGGGCAUUUUAAAUUUUGCAUUACGUUGGCUGGGUAGUUAAUAUUUAAUGUAUGGAAAAAUACAAAGGUAGGUAGCU
This is a long non-coding RNA of Columba livia (rock pigeon), 2188 nucleotides long. RefSeq lists it as uncharacterized. NCBI's taxonomy places the organism in Eukaryota, Metazoa, Chordata, Aves, Columbiformes, Columbidae. The record is from RefSeq and is a predicted model, not a curated record. The transcript has 4 exons.